Paramuricea clavata is the source of this 212-nucleotide non-coding RNA. NCBI's taxonomy places the organism in Eukaryota, Metazoa, Cnidaria, Anthozoa, Malacalcyonacea, Plexauridae. The record is from the annotation of a GenBank genome assembly.
UGCAGAGAAAUCGAAAAAUGUGUCGAAUUUGUUGAUGAUUUGGGCUAUCCUGGGUCAGUUGACAAAGAAGUGAUUUGUGUAACAGAUCAUCCUGGUUUCCCAGCAGUGUGCUUAAACAGAUGGUCGUUGGAAUCUUGCGGUAGAAACGUUUAAAACUCGUGAUGGUCAUCGUUAUAGUCAACUUGGUCCAAAGGAAAGGUACAUUAAAUUUU